UCCAGGGUAGCCUAGUGGACAUGGCACCUGCCCGUAAGCAGAAGGUUGUGGGUUCGAUUCCCGCCCCUGGAC
Non-coding RNA from Cordylochernes scorpioides, 72 nucleotides. Lineage: Eukaryota; Metazoa; Arthropoda; Arachnida; Pseudoscorpiones; Chernetidae. The record is from the annotation of a GenBank genome assembly.